Molecule: ribosomal RNA, 611 nt
Filed under: uncultured bacterium
Lineage: Bacteria
Description: bacterial SSU rRNA
Rfam family: Bacterial small subunit ribosomal RNA (bases 1-519)
Source: RNAcentral
CCUACGGGAGGCAGCAGUGGGGAAUCUUGCGCAAUGGGCGAAAGCCUGACGCAGCCAUGCCGCGUGAAUGAUGAAGGUCUUAGGAUUGUAAAAUUCUUUCACCGGGGACGAUAAUGACGGUACCCGGAGAAGAAGCCCCGGCUAACUUCGUGCCAGCAGCCGCGGUAAUACGAAGGGGGCUAGCGUUGCUCGGAAUUACUGGGCGUAAAGGGAGCGUAGGCGGAUAGUUUAGUCAGAGGUGAAAGCCCAGGGCUCAACCUUGGAAUUGCCUUUGAUACUGGCUAUCUUGAGUAUGGGAGAGGUUAGCGGAACUCCGAGUGUAGAGGUGAAAUUCGUAGAUAUUCGGAAGAACACCAGUGGCGAAGGCGGCUAACUGGCCCAUUACUGACGCUGAGGCUCGAAAGCGUGGGGAGCAAACAGGAUUAGAUACCCUGGUAGUCCACGCCGUAAACGAUGAGUGCUAGUUGUCGGCAUGCAUGCAUGUCGGUGACGCGAGCUACGACACUAAGACACUCCGCCGUCGGGGAGGUACGGUCGCGAAGAAUUAAAACUACAAUAGAAGUUAGACGGCGUGAGACGUGCCGAACGGACGACCGACGAGGGGAGGUAGG